RNAcentral lists this long non-coding RNA (1464 nucleotides) under Canis lupus familiaris (dog). RNAcentral's name for it is "lncRNA (ENSCAFG00845023998.1)". Lineage: Eukaryota; Metazoa; Chordata; Mammalia; Carnivora; Canidae. The record is from RNAcentral.
CUCCCCCCCCCCCCCCCCCCCCCCGCCGCCCCAGUGACCAGCAGCCUGUUCCCUAGAGUUGGUCUGUUUCUCGGUUUAUCAGCCUCUCCUUCCCCCCUUUGCUCAUAUGUUUUGUUUCUUAAAUUCCACAUGAAUGAAAUUGCAUAGUUUGUCUCUCCCCGGCCGACUCGCCCCCCUCGGCAUCACGCCCUCCGGCUCCCCCCACGUCGGUGUAAAUGGCGAGAUCUCCCCCCUCUGACGGCCGAGUGACACCCGGGGUGCGCAGGGACCACGUCUCCUCCCUCCAGCAUCUGUCCGUGGACGUCGAGGCUCCUCCCGCAGCGCGGCCCCCGUGGACACGGCCCCUGGGAACGCGGGGGUGCAGGUGCCCCUGCAGCUCACCGCCUCUGGGCUGCGGGGUCAGUACCCAGCAGUGCAAUUGCCGGGUCGGAGGGCAGCUCCGUGUCCGGCUCCUCGAGGCCACCCGCCCCCCCUGUCCCCACGGUGGCCGCCCACCUGUGUUCCCACCAGCCGCAGAGAAGCUCCCCUUUCUCCACAUCCUCCCUGCACCUGUUGCCUCCCGACGGUGGCCGUCCUGCCGGGCGUGCGGGGGGAUCUCUCUGCUGUAAACGUUUUGACAGACGUGUGCUCACCUGGUACACGUGUUUAUGUGCCUUCAUCUGGGUUCUUUUCUGAGCACGAAAGUGAUGCAACCUCACACCAGAGAGAAUAUGGAAAAGACACGAAAUACGGGAAAGGACAAGAAAGUGCCACAGCCUGCGCCGCAGCAGCCGACUCCCCUCCAUCCAGAGUCCGGAGCCUCUCUGUCCCCGAGCGCCGCACCGGCCCCCAGGCCACUGUACGUGAACACGUACACGUGUUCACGUACAGCUGCACCCCUGCACCUGCGUGGGGAGCCAGGCCGGGCCCCCGGGCCUCGAGCACACUGCUGCCCUGGGGGACCGCGAGCCGGGAGGAUUCGGGACGCUGGGGGUGCGGGGCUCCACGGCCCUGCCCCUGCUUGGAGAGGAAGGGAGGUGGGCACAGAGGCCUUUCUCGCAUCCCCGACGGCCGCCUGGGCCCGCUGACCCUCCGUGGUGGGGCAUCAGGACCUGGGGGUCCCCGGCUGAGGUCGCAGAGCCGGCCCUCGGGGAGCGGGUCUUCACCCUCGGGCUGCCCGCCGUGCACGGUGCCCCGGGACCCGGGAGGGGAGCCCCCCGGCCAGAGCGCCCAGAACCCCUGGGUGGGGGUCAGCGUCUAUCCUGGGGAGCAGCUGCAGGGAGACGUGCACGGCACUUCAGGGGGCACGUGAGCAGCACCGUGACCCCAGCGCAGGGGGUCAGCUGGACAUCCAGGGGGUCCCAGGUGGGGGCUGCAGAGCCCUGGAGGGCGGGCAGCAGGGUGGCCACAGGUCUGAAACGACCCUGGGGAGCGGCUGGCUGCGGGGGGGCCUGGCGGGGCAACACCGCCAGCCUGGCAGGGAGG